CAUUCGUCCUCAGUGCAGGGGAUAGUCCUGGACUUGGGCUCCUGACUCUUAUUUGGCAGCACAACUUUUUAUCUCGGACACACACUUUCGGUGGUACAAAUUAAUCUACAAGGAGAGACACUGCGUUGCCGCUGGCAAAGAAACCUUCCUUUUGUAGUAGUAGUGACUAAUUUACACGCCUGCCUCCGCUCUCUUUCUAGCCUUCUAUUCACAAGCGACAUAUCAAGGGUGGUCGAAUGCCAGCAGAACAGCCUGUCUUUGGGAAAGAUAUUAGCUUUUUUUUCACCCUUGCUUGCCUCUCUACUUGUGCUGGCACAGGAAGCCUGUCAAUACAACCUCCAUCGUUACCUUAUUUUUCCUCAUUGACUUUCCUCCCUCUACAGGUCCCUUCAACCCUUCAGUUUGUUCCUGAUAAAUAUCUUGACACCGAGAAAGGCGCUAACAGUAUUCUGCAACCCUGACUGGACUCGUGGCCCUAUUGUGUUGCAUUCCCAAGCAGGUAUUUCCUGCAUCCAGACAUUUACAGUCAAAUCGAGGCAUUCGUGGAUGUGUGAAGGAGCAAGCGAAAAAACAAACAAACAAACAAACAUAAAAGCAUGCAUGCAUUGUUACAGCAAUCAGCUACGAAUAAGAAAUGUUUGAAGCCUUUUUGUUUCACAAUGACAAUGAUGAACGAGAUGUUACUAAUGUGAUAUUAAUCUCUGCUGCCUUAGUGUAGGAAGUCUGUUAUCUUGGAGAUGUUGGUAGAAAAGAGAGAGAAUAUCGAUCACCUUCAUGCUACUUCUGACAUAAGUAGGUAGCAAAUGCAAAGAAACUAUUUUCCUCUCAGUUUGGCUGUUAAACUCCGUGAAACAUAUGAGCUGAGAAAAGCACUUUGUUUUCACUGCAUCCUGUAGGUUAGAUUGAUUUCUGACUUUUGGCAGCAUGAGAAGGGAGGCCAGUCUAUAGUCCAUUUGCACAAUGUAUCAACAAAGCUAGCUAGUUUAAAAAUGAGUCUGUAAUAAAAAGGAAUAAAAUGUAACGCA
Molecule: long non-coding RNA, 1025 nt
Filed under: Anser brachyrhynchus (Pink-footed goose)
Lineage: Eukaryota; Metazoa; Chordata; Aves; Anseriformes; Anatidae
Description: lncRNA (ENSABRG00000008083.1)
Source: RNAcentral